This 253-nucleotide ribosomal RNA is filed under the name uncultured bacterium. RNAcentral describes it as "partial 16S ribosomal RNA". It matches the Rfam family "Bacterial small subunit ribosomal RNA", at positions 524 to 776 of the family's 1533-position model. The record is from RNAcentral.
UACGUAGGUGGCAAGCGUUAUCCGGAAUUAUUGGGCGUAAAGAGCGCGCAGGUGGUUAAUUAAGUCUGAUGUGGAAGCCCACGGCUUAACCGUGGAGGGUCAUUGGAAACUGGUUGACUUGAGUGCAGAAGAGGGAAGUGGAAUUCCAUGUGUAGCGGUGAAAUGCGUAGAGAUAUGGAGGAACACCAGUGGCGAAGGCGGCUUCCUGGUCUGCAACUGACACUGAGGCGCGAAAGCGUGGGGAGCAAACAGG